GCAUUGGUGUUUCAAUAGUAAAAUUCUGGCCUUUUAGACGAGAGACCCUGGUUCGAUUCCCGGCCAACGCA
RNAcentral lists this transfer RNA (71 nucleotides) under Loxodonta africana (African savanna elephant). It matches the Rfam family "tRNA". From Rfam's summary of the family: Transfer RNA (tRNA) molecules are approximately 80 nucleotides in length. Their secondary structure includes four short double-helical elements and three loops (D, anti-codon, and T loops). The record is from Rfam by way of RNAcentral. Lineage: Eukaryota; Metazoa; Chordata; Mammalia; Proboscidea; Elephantidae.